This 253-nucleotide ribosomal RNA is filed under the name uncultured bacterium. RNAcentral's name for it is "partial 16S ribosomal RNA". It matches the Rfam family "Bacterial small subunit ribosomal RNA", at positions 524 to 776 of the family's 1533-position model. The record is from RNAcentral.
UACAGGGGGGGCAAGCGUUGUUCGGAAUUACUGGGCGUAAAGGGCUCGUAGGCGGCCAACUAAGUCACACGUGAAAUCCCCAGGCUUAACCUGGGAACUGCGUGUGAUACUGGAUGGCUUGAAUCCGGGAGAGGGAUGCAGAAUUCCAGGUGUAGCGGUGAAAUGCGUAGAUAUCUGGAGGAAUACCGGUGGCGAAGGCGGCGUCCUGGACCGGCAUUGACGCUGAUGAGCGAAAGCUAGGGGAGCAAACGGG